Panicum virgatum (switchgrass) is the source of this 234-nucleotide long non-coding RNA. RefSeq lists it as uncharacterized. NCBI's taxonomy places the organism in Eukaryota, Viridiplantae, Streptophyta, Magnoliopsida, Poales, Poaceae. The record is from RefSeq and is a predicted model, not a curated record. The transcript is spliced from 2 exons.
CCGCCGUGCACUGCUCCCGUGGACAGCACGCCUCUGGCCGCCCUCCGCCGCGAUAAGACCACCCCAAGGUACGAUAGAUGAACCACGUGAAUGACGUGAUAUUGGAACCGAACACGAAGACGAUGUUUGGUGGACAUAUCCAGAAGAGGCAAAGAACCAGGAGUACAUGCUUGGACCGGAAUACUCGCCAAGCGAGUGUCAUCUAACAAACACUGACCUAGUGUUAAUCCCAGG